GUGGUAGUGACGAACCAACGGAAACGGAAGGUGGGCCGCAGUGUUAAAGAGAAAGACGCCACCGCACGCCGCCACCGGUACCAGACUCACGUCCGACGCCAUUAUCUCACCAAGAAAAUCCAGUGGAAAUUAGUGCGUUGGUCGCCUUUGUUUGCAGAGUCCUGUGGAGGUUGUUCGCCCCCUAACCUUAUUUUAAAAUGGCUGAUAACGAUGAUCUUCUCGACUACGAAGAUGAGGAGCAGCCAGAACAGGCCGUCGUUGACGGAUCCGGUGACACUGGAGCGAAGAAGGAAGUGAAGGGUACUUACGUAUCCAUCCACAGUUCUGGCUUCAGAGAUUUCUUGCUCAAACCUGAGAUUCUCCGAGCAAUUGUUGAUUGUGGUUUUGAGCAUCCAUCGGAAGUUCAGCAUGAAUGCAUUCCUCAGGCCGUCCUUGGUAUGGAUAUAUUGUGCCAGGCUAAAUCUGGUAUGGGAAAGACAGCAGUCUUUGUGUUGGCUACUCUCCAACAAUUGGAACCGACAGAGAACCAAGUCUAUGUUCUUGUUAUGUGCCACACCCGAGAAUUGGCUUUUCAAAUCAGCAAAGAAUAUGAAAGAUUCUCAAAAUACAUGUCUCAAGUAAAGGUGAGCGUGUUCUUUGGUGGCUUGCCGAUCCAGAAAGAUGAGGAGGUCUUAAAGAACAACUGUCCCCACAUUGUUGUGGGCACCCCUGGCCGUAUUCUGGCGCUUGUGCGUUCUAAGAAGCUUAAUCUCAAACACUUAAAGCACUUCAUCCUUGAUGAGUGUGACAAGAUGCUGGAGCUACUUGACAUGAGGAAAGACGUCCAGGAGAUCUUCCGCAGCACACCUCACAGCAAGCAAGUGAUGAUGUUCAGCGCCACUCUCAGCAAGGACAUUCGCCCAGUCUGCAAGAAGUUCAUGCAAGACCCUAUGGAAGUUUAUGUUGAUGAUGAAACAAAGUUGACCCUCCACGGACUCCAGCAGCAUUAUGUGAAGCUGAACGAGAAUGAGAAGAACAAGAAGCUUUUCGAGCUUUUGGACAUUCUAGAGUUCAACCAGGUUGUCAUCUUUGUCAAAUCAGUCCAAAGGUGUAUGGCUUUAGCUCAGCUAUUGACAGAACAAAAUUUCCCAGCAAUUGCUAUCCACAGAAUGACAACUCAAGAGGAGAGAUUGUCACGUUACCAGCAGUUCAAAGAUUUUCAAAAGCGUAUUUUGGUUGCCACCAACCUCUUUGGAAGAGGCAUGGAUAUUGAGCGAGUGAAUAUUGUGUUCAACUAUGACAUGCCUGAAGACUCUGAUACCUAUUUACACAGAGUGGCGCGCGCUGGUAGAUUUGGUACCAAGGGGUUGGCCAUUACUUUUGUUAGUGAUGAAAAUGAUGCCAAGAUUUUGAAUGAAGUUCAAGACCGUUUUGAUGUCAACAUUACUGAACUACCUGAUGAGAUUGACCUGUCAUCUUACAUUGAAGGACGGUAAUCAUGUAACUUUCCUAUUUCACCAAUUUAAAAAAACACAUGUGAUAUGGUACAAAUGAUGGUGUAGCUUGACGUUGUAGCUUGCUGGUACUAGGAGUGUAUUAAAGUGCUCUAAUACUUCCUAGUAGAUAUGUAUCAUUUUAACAGCACGUCACCCUUAUCAUUUUUUUUUUCAUUCUUCAUUUCAUCAAUUGUCAUUAGUGACUUAAGGUUUCUUUAAUCAGAUUGUGAAGCAUUUUUCCCCUUGACGUGUAACUAGAUAACUUGAGUCAAUGAGUUGCUAAUAAAUGUAAAUUUCUUAACAAA
RNA transcript from Frankliniella occidentalis (western flower thrips), 1780 nucleotides. It is a transcript of the gene named ATP-dependent RNA helicase WM6, with no coding region annotated. The transcript is spliced from 11 exons. The record is from RefSeq and is a predicted model, not a curated record. Lineage: Eukaryota; Metazoa; Arthropoda; Insecta; Thysanoptera; Thripidae.